UGCUGCCCUGUGCAUCAACAUAUUAGGCUUUGACUUGCUGUAUAGUCUAUCAGAAAUGGUGUUUUCUACAUCAGGGUGGAUAAUGAAAACUAAUAUUGUCUCAGCAAGCAGUCUCAUCAUUCAAGAUGAAACUGAAUUUAGACCUAUGAUAUCCUGUCAAAAUGUGUGGGGGGUCGCGAGACUUGGCAAAUGGAUUUUAUGGGGUCCCCGGACAAAAAGUUUGAGAACCACUGGACUACACCUCCCAAAGACCACCAGCGGACAACACCAUGGGUUCACAUUUCCUUUAUUUGAUUAAAAAAAAAGAGGAAAAUAUUCUUUACAAAAACAGCAGAAAAUGUGGGGAAUCUGCAGGCCCAUAGCCGAGUGGGUGGAGCUAGAGCUGGGGGGCGGAGCUGGAGCCGAGUGGGUGGAGCAAGAUAUGGAUGGGCGGGGUUGUGUGGGUGGAGCCAGAUAUGGUGGGCGGGGCUGGAUCAUAGUGGGCGGGGCUGGAUCUGAGUGGGUGGAGCGGAGUGAAAACGGCAGAAGAAAAGAAAAGAUACAUGCACAGCCUCAACCAAUCAGCAAGCAGAACCACCAUAGCAGUAACUUUUUAGUGUUACCUAUUAGUGCCAUCUAACGUCAGAAUCCACCAUCGCAGUAACACUCUGUGGACUACACCUCCCAGAAUCCACCAUCGCAGUAACACUCUGUGGACUACACCUCCCAGAAUCCACCAUCGCAGUAACACUCUGUGGACUACACCUCCCAGAAUCCACCAUGGCAGUAACACUCUAUUGGACUACACCUCUCAGAAUCCACCAUGGCAGUAACACUCUAUUGGACUACACCUCCCAGAAUCCACCAUCGCAGUAACACACUAUUAGUGCCAUCUAACGCCAGAAAACCUCCAUGGCCACUGACCUUAACCAGUCGACUGUAGGGGGUCAUUAGGUACCAUGACCAUCAAUCAAUGAAUUUGUUUACUAAUUAAUGGUUUUGUUCAAUUUACUUUUGAAAAUACUUAUCGCUCUGUAAAGCGCCUAGAGACAAUUGUAUUGUUAUGGCGCUAUAUAAAUAAAAUUGAAUUGAAUUAUCGUAAAUAUUCUUCGAAGGUCACAACUGUAACCCUGCGUUCAAGUCUAAAAAAAGUGAUUAAGGAGUUGAGGUGAAAUUAAUAUGAGUUGACGUGGCACAUGGUGCGGUGUAGACCAAUGGAUGCCGUGGAGCUCCUGUCCCUAUAACACCAGGGGCAGCUGACUGAUAUCUCCUGGGGAGCUGACUGAUAUCUCCUGGGGAGGUGACUGAUAUCUUCUACAACACCAGAGCAGGUGACUGAUAUCUCCUGUGCUACAACGCCUGGGGCAGGUGACUGAUAUCUCCUGUGCCUACAUCACCAGGGAGGUGACUGAUAUCUCCUGGGGCAGGUGACUGAUAUCUCCUACAACCCCAGAGCAGGUGACUGAUAUCUCCUGGGGCAGGUGACUGAUAUCUCCUGGGGCAGGUGACUGAUAUCUCCUGUGCCUACAUCACCAGGGAGGUGACUGAUAUCUCCUGGGGCAGGUGACUGAUAUGUCCUGGGGCAGGUGACUGAUAUGUCCUGGGGCAGCUGACUGAUAUCUUGUGAUUUUACGUCAUCGCAUACGGUGUGUCCUUCCCAAAGCGCACUCUGGCCACCCCCCCAGGUACACCUUGUGGCUAAUUUGCUCGUAAUGACGGCCUCUCUGUAAAUACGCUCCAUAGCGGCGGCCCCCAGAACGCCCAGGAGGACCCCUGUCUUCAGCACACACACACACACACACCACACACACACACACACACACCACCCACACACACACACACACACACACACACCACACACACACACACACACCACACACACACACACACACACACACACAC
This is a long non-coding RNA of Clupea harengus (Atlantic herring), 1881 nucleotides long. The record is from Ensembl. Lineage: Eukaryota; Metazoa; Chordata; Actinopteri; Clupeiformes; Clupeidae.